CCCCGCGGCUAGACGGAAAGACCCCAUGAACCUUUACUGUAGCUUUGCAUUGGAUUGUGAACCGGCCUGUGUAGGAUAGGUGGGAGACGUUGAAGCGUGGUCGCCAGAUCGCGUGGAGUCAUCCUUGAAAUACCACCCUGGUCUGUUUGCGGUUCUAACCUAGGUCCCUUACCGGGAUCGGGGACCGUGCAUGGUGGGCAGUUUGACUGGGGCGGUCUCCUCCUAAAGUGUAACGGAGGAGUUCGAAGGUACGCUAGAGACGGUCGGAAAUCGUCUUGAUAGUGCAAUGGCAUAAGCGUGCUUGACUGUGAGACUGACAAGUCGAACAGGUACGAAAGUAGGACAUAGUGAUCCGGUGGUUCUGUAUGGAAGGGCCAUCGCUCAACGGAUAAAAGGUACUCUGGGGAUAACAGGCUGAUACCGCCCAAGAGUUCAUAUCGACGGCGGUGUUUGGCACCUCGAUGUCGGCUCAUCUCAUCCUGGGGCUGUAGCCGGUCCCAAGGGUAUGGCUGUUCGCCAUUUAAAGAGGUACGUGAGCUGGGUUUAAAACGUCGUGAGACAGUUUGGUCCCUAUCUGCCGUGGGCGUUGGAUACUUGACGGAGCCUGCUCCUAGUACGAGAGGACCGGAGUGGACGUACCACUGGUGUAUCGGUUGUCAUGCCAAUGGCAUUGCCGAGUAGCUACGUACGGAAGAGAUAACCGCUGAAGGCAUCUAAGCGGGAAACUCGUCUGAAGAUUAGGUAUCCCGGGGGCUUGACCCCCCUGUAGGGUCGUCCGAGACCAGGACGUUGAUAGGCUGGGUGUGGAAGUGCAGUAAUGCAUGUAGCUAACCAGUACUAAUUGCCCGUGUGGCUUGAUCCUAUAACCCUUGAGGUUGUA
This 880-nucleotide ribosomal RNA is filed under the name Alcaligenes faecalis. RNAcentral describes it as "bacterial LSU rRNA". It matches the Rfam family "Bacterial large subunit ribosomal RNA", at positions 2067 to 2925 of the family's 2925-position model. Lineage: Bacteria; Pseudomonadati; Pseudomonadota; Betaproteobacteria; Burkholderiales; Alcaligenaceae. The record is from RNAcentral.